AUGCAAGUCGAGCGGAGACAGUGAGUAGCUUGCUAUGAGCUGUUUUAGCGGCGGACGGGUGAGUAACGCGUGAGCAACCUUUCCCAGACAGGGGAAUAACACACCGAAAGGUGUACUAAUACCGCAUAAGACCACGGGAUCACAUGGUUCUGGGGUAAAAGAUUUGUCGGUUUGGGGUGGGCUCGCGUCCGAUUAGGUAGUUGGUGAGGUAACGGCCCACCAAGCCGACGAUCGGUAGCCGACCUGAGAGGGUGAUCGGCCACAUUGGGACUGAGACACGGCCCAAACUCCUACGGGAGGCAGCAGUGGGGAAUAUUGGGCAAUGGGGGGAACCCUGACCCAGCAACGCCGCGUGGAGGAAGAAGGUUUUCGGAUCGUAAACUCCUGUCCUUGGAGACGAGUAGAAGACGGUAUCCAAGGAGGAAGCCCCGGCCAACUACGUGCCAGCAGCCGCGGUAAUACGUAGGGGGCAAGCGUUGUCCGGAAUAAUUGGGCGUAAAGGGCGCGUAGGCGGCCCGGUAAGUCUGGAGUGAAAGUCCUGCUUUUAAGGUGGGAAUUGCUUUGGAUACUGUCGGGCUUGAGUGCAGGAGAGGUUAGUG
This 599-nucleotide ribosomal RNA is filed under the name uncultured bacterium. RNAcentral describes it as "bacterial SSU rRNA". It matches the Rfam family "Bacterial small subunit ribosomal RNA", at positions 55 to 663 of the family's 1533-position model. The record is from RNAcentral.